This is a long non-coding RNA of Cygnus olor (mute swan), 2623 nucleotides long. RefSeq lists it as uncharacterized. NCBI's taxonomy places the organism in Eukaryota, Metazoa, Chordata, Aves, Anseriformes, Anatidae. The record is from RefSeq and is a predicted model, not a curated record. The transcript is spliced from 4 exons.
AGAAGAUAUGCCCUAGGAAGCUGCAUGGCCUGAUUUGAGGUCUUGUGAAGGACGGCAAGGUAACUUGCAUACAGUCUUAUUAGUCUUUUGAAAUGCCACCUUUCUGCUGCACAGCCUUGGACAAAUUUGUGUAGCUUGGCAGAGACACCAUCAUUCAACAACAGGCUGCAGCCCAGCAAGAUGUCGUGUCUGGUGUGGCCAAGGCAUGGUUGAUAUUUUGGCCUCCCGCCUGUAGGAUGUGCCUCCAGGCACCCAGCAAGAGCUGCAGAGCAAAAUGCUUUUUUGGGAAAGCCAUGCUAUCAUCCCCCCAAACAGCAAACUCCAAACCCGAAAGAGAAAGGGCCCUUUGAAGUGAGCUGCCCAAACGCGACGUGUGACAUCAGAAGAUGGCAGAUAGCUGGCAGAACAAGGCUUCCUUUCAGCCUGGCCCGGCCCCGGCUGUGCACGAUUUACACCCCACCUCCCCAUGCUGGAGAUGAAAGAUGCCCCAGGCAGCCUGCCUGACCCCGUUGCUUCUGCUAUCUCCACUUGAUUGCACAGUGUUUUUGCUCCAAACAAUCCUUCACUGUCUGGGCCGCACAGGUUCAACCUGCCUUUCUGUCGAAAGCAAGCUGGUCUCCCACCUUGGGUCCUUGCAUUAAAAGGUAUGGUGGAAGGAGGACAUUUGCCUGCAUGUCUAUGCUGAAAGGAAAAUCUUUGAGAAGCUGUUCAGUCUUGAGACAAUGGAUUUUGUAGAAGAUGAGUUGUGGUAAAAUAGCUGCAAAUUAAACACACAUCCAACAAGCCUGGAGGACAGUGAGUCUGAGGAACCAAGCAGAUGGGCUCAAGAAAGCUCUGAGUGUUCAAGUGGCAUCAGGGAUGUGCCCACACAAAUGUCUCAGUAGGUUCUUCCUGAGCUAAUGCAAUCCCAGAGGCAUGUCCUAGAUUCGUGUGAGAGGGGCAUGUGUCAAAACCCUGAAGGGUAUUCGGCAGCUCCCAUAAGAUCUGAGCACCCUUUUGACCUCUACUGAAAAGAUCAGAGCCAAGUUUUCCCUUGCGUUCAGAGACUUGUAAAGGCUGAAUGCCCUAAAAUCAAUGUUACUAGUGGGAACAUGGAAAUUAAUUGUGUCAAUCUAUCACUCAUCUUCCCCUAUUACAUUCAGUGAUUGGAACUUGGCCUCCAGUGCAUGAACAAAGUGUCUUCUGUGACAGGUAACCGCUGUGCGGGAGGUGGCUGCAUGACUGAGUGGUGGAGAGGGCAGGACAAAAUAAAAGUUUGGGUUCAACAUCUUGUUUGAUUUUUUUUUUUUUUUCCCCCCUUGAUCUAAUGUUUUCCUUGCUUGGGGCUAUUAAGGUCAAUGUGAUGUUAAAAUAGGACAGAUAGAAUAAAGGGGUAAAACAGCAGGAGGUUAACAGAGGAGAGGAGAAGUAUAGGGAUGAGGUUUGGAUUAUUUUUGUGAAUUGUCUUAGAGUAGUGCCAAGUAAUUACACCAAGAUGAUUGGUAACCUGCAAAUAGACCAUGGGGCCAAGGGAAAUGCCUUGCAGGAUGCUGUAUAGGCAUUAUUCAGGUACCUCCUAAAAACUGCUUAGGGCCAGGCUGUUUGAAGUUGUGGAUGACACCAGUGCUUUGGGCACUCUUGCAUCUCUAGUAUUGCCCCAUCCACAUAUCACCUCUAGGCCUUAGGGAGCCAAGUGGUGCUGGUGGUGACCUCUUCUUCCUCAUCUUCAUACACAGCCAGCUUGGGAGCUGGGUGAGGUGGUGUCUCAGUCAUGGCUGUGAACCAGCUGGGGCUCCUGAUGGCAGGAGAGCAGAUGUAACUGAGCUCCUUCAAGGGACCAAGCUGGGCAGCAGUACUGAGCUCAGAUUUGGGCUGUAGUGAUUCCACCUGGCUGUGGUUUGAAGCUCAAAUCAUGUCAAGCUGAACGCUACUCUAAAACUGUGCAGAAAUUUGAGCUUUGCCACAGAGCUGUGCUGUUUUGCCCAGGGGAGAAGCUGCUUCCCACCCAAGGUCACUGCUAAACCUUGUGCCACAAAGAAAAACCAUAAAGUUGUCACUGCAGCUGAGCUUUCUGGAGGCUGCUGUGUUAAUAGCAAACCUUGGGGCUUUGCUGCUUCACUGAUGUCAGUGUACAACAAAAUCCAUUUCCCAGGCACGGACCUUGGAAGAGCCCUCUGUGUGACCAAGGCAGCAAUGCUCCCCCUGUGCUGCUGUUUGGGAGCUUUCCCACAGCCUUUUUUAUGCUCCCUUCCUCCUUGUAGUAGGAAAAAUGAGUCAGGGAAUGAAGUUGAGGGAUUAACCACAGAACGAGGCUCUCCUGCCCUCUGCUCACCCCCUGGGCUGGGGGGCUCAAGGAGCUCAUGGUGCUAGGCAUUUCCAGCCUACCCAUGUGCUGUCACUUUGAGGAUGGGACCACAGCUGUCCCCUCACGUGGGGUCUCUGUCUUGACGGUCGCUGCCCAUCCGUCCCAUUCCUCCCUCUCCUUCAUUAAGGCGCCGAUCUCUUCCUGAUAACGAGGGGUUUCUGUUGGACAAAACCUGCCAAUUAGUCAUUCUGGCUGGGUAUAACGUGGCACUUGAACAGCUGAGGGGGCGGGCAGUCCUGCCCCUUCUCGCGGUGUUGCCAAGCUUGCCAUUAACACAAU